GCAGCGACGCCGCGUGAGGGAUGACGGCCUUCGGGUUGUAAACCUCUUUCGACAGGGACGAAGCGUGAGUGACGGUACCUGUAAAGAAGCACCGGCCAACUACGUGCCAGCAGCCGCGGUAAUACGUAGGGUGCGAGCGUUGUCCGGAAUUACUGGGCGUAAAGAGCUUGUAGGCGGUUCGUCGCGUCUAUCGUGAAAACCUACCGCUCAACGGUGGGCUUGCGGUCGAUACGGGCGGACUAGAGUACUUCAGGGGAGACUGGAAUUCCUGGUGUAGCGGUGAAAUGCGCAGAUAUCAAGAGGAACACCGGUGGCGAAGGCGGGUCUCUGGGAAGUAACUGACGCUGAGAAGCGAAAGCGUGGGUAGCGAACAGGAUUAGAUACCCUGGUAGUCCACGCCGUAAACGGUGGGUACUAGGUGUGGGUUUCCUUCCACGGGAUCCGUGCCGUAGCUAACGCAUUAAGUACCCCGCCUGGGGAGUACGGCCGCAAGGCUAAAACUCAUAGGAAUUGACGGGGGCCCGCACAAGCGGCGGAGCAUGUGGAUUAAUUCGAUGCAACGCGAAGAACCUUACCUGGGUUUGACAUACACCACAAAGCGGCAGACAUGUCGCCCCCCUUGUGGUU
Molecule: ribosomal RNA, 627 nt
Filed under: Nocardia sp. So2Ps_1673
Lineage: Bacteria; Bacillati; Actinomycetota; Actinomycetes; Mycobacteriales; Nocardiaceae
Description: bacterial SSU rRNA
Rfam family: Bacterial small subunit ribosomal RNA
Source: RNAcentral